This is a non-coding RNA of Chlorocebus sabaeus (green monkey), 733 nucleotides long. The record is from the annotation of a RefSeq genome assembly. NCBI's taxonomy places the organism in Eukaryota, Metazoa, Chordata, Mammalia, Primates, Cercopithecidae.
CUCAGAAUGACUGCCUUGACAGUCCUGUUCCCCUUUUAUCAACACACAGACCCAGAAGACCCCUCCAUCCUGCAGCACCUGCCAUGAGCAUCAGGCUCCUGUGCUGUGCGGCCUUUUCUCUCCUGUGGGCAGGUCUAGUGAAUGCUGGUGUCACUCAGACCCCAAAAUUCCAAGUCCUGAAGACAGGACAGAGCAUGACACAGCAGUGUGCCCAGGAUAUGAACCAUGACUCCAAUUACUGGUAUCGACAAGACCCAGGCAUGGGGCUGAGGCUGAUUCGUUACUCAGUUGCUGCUGGUGUCACUGACAAGGGAGAAGUCCCCAGUGGCUACAAUGUCUCCAGAUUAAACACAGAGGAUUUCCCGCUCAGGCUGGAGUCAGCUGCUCCCUCCCAGACAUCUGUGUACUUCUGUGCCAGCAGUUACUCCCUUCCUUCCAAUCACAGAGUCUUCAUUGGCCAUUUCCUCUGCCCUGGGCUGGAACCUUCCUUCCUCUAGUGGCCAGCUCCUACCUGUGCUUCAGAUCUCAGCAUGAUCAGCCCUCCUGCGGGAAGCACUCCCUCCCCUCCCAGCUGAGAUCAACUUUCCUCUCCUAAGCUCUCAUAGAAUCAUAUAUCUGUUACUAACCUUUAGCACCGUUGGGCUUUCUCAGAUACUUGUCUGAUUAUUUUUGUGCUCCACCCAUUUUUAAAAUUUUCUUUUGAUUUCUUUCCUUUCUUUCUUUUCAUUUUUUC